RNAcentral lists this long non-coding RNA (1458 nucleotides) under Homo sapiens (human). RNAcentral's name for it is "PREDICTED lncRNA (TCONS_00182861)". Lineage: Eukaryota; Metazoa; Chordata; Mammalia; Primates; Hominidae. The record is from RNAcentral.
GCCGGGGCGUCCCCCGCGGGAGCCCGCAGCCACCCGGGACGCGCAUCCAGACGUGGCGCUUCGGACCGGGCACGCUGCGCCCGGGGGCUCGGCGGACCCCGCGUAGCCGCCGCUUCGGAGCUUGUGCGGCGCGGGCUGGCCAGCGGGGCGGCCAGGGCCCGGCCCGCCUCCCCAGCGCCCGCCCGGCUUCUCCCCCUGGCGGUGGGAGCCUCGGCGGCCGCUGGCGACACUAGGCGCACUGAAGCCCGAGCCGAGCCGAGCCCGAGCCGCCGCCGCCGCCGCCGCUGCUGCGCACCGCUCCCGGGCUCCCUCCCAGCGCGCCGGCCGGGGUGUGGGGGGCGGCGGGCCGGAGGGGCGAGGGCGGGCCAGGGGGCGCACACGGGGGUUGGCGCGGAAGACAGGACCCUCAGCCUCGAGGGAGCCCCUAGGUGACCAGGCAAAAUGGCAGUUCCUUCCAGCUGGUCCUCAGAUGGGCACAUCUAUUAGCCUCUGCUCUUGUAAGAAGUUAGCUGCAGAACCCACAUGUGAAUCCUUGUAGGACUCUGGAGAAGAUCAAAUGGGAGCUUAGAUGUGGAAGCUCUUUGGAAACCAAGAAACACUCUGAAAAUGAAAAGGAUACCAACUUCAUCUCUCUUUAAGAAUACAAUAUUAGUUUAAAAGAUUGUUCAACUUAAAGCAAUCUUGUAGAGAUUGUCACCCAUGAUUGAUGCUGGCAUAAGAAUGUUUAUCACAGCAUGGCAUAUAUUGGAAGUUUAGUAAAUGAAGAUACAUCCAAUCUGACAUUCUAUUCACAACCACAAAGAGAUAAUGUAGAAACAUAUUUAGUAAUGUGAGAAAAUACUAAAUAUUAAGUGAAAAAGGUGGAAGAGUAAACUGUUCCUGUUUCUCCAUCUUGACAGGAAGCAGAAGUUCUCCUUAGCUGAUUUUUCUUCUUGCCUUAUACUGGGUUCUUUAACACCAGAACAAAAAUAAAUAAAUAAAAGAAUCUUCCAGAAAUUCAUGAAGAGACUUCAGGUCAGGAAAGCCUGAACUUUCUCAUCCAACACCCGUUCAAGUCGGAGGAUGCUGAUUAAUUCAUGAUGGAAAGGUAUCAAUUUCACAGCCCAGACCUCUACAUUCUUGAAAUGCUCUUCUCAUGGGAGACAUUAAAUAAGCUUUGAAUUAACUUGCCAUGACACCCAGGAUGCAGCUGUAGGAACACCACUGGGUCCCUGGAUGUCAUGUAAGCCCUUAAGUAAAAGUGCCAUCAAAUGAUUUCUCAGAAAUUAUAAAGAAACAAAAGGACCAUAAACAAGAUAAGGUGGCAUGAGGAAACAUUACAAGUACCUUUCAGAGCUGACUGGCAAAGAAACUCCUGAGGUGACGGUUCUACCCCAAUAUUACUUCUUCGAAGAGCAACCUAACUCUUAGGUGGCCUAGAGGGGCAAGACUGGUGUGGCAAAUUGGGAUCAGCAGUGU